GGGGAAUUUUUCGCAAUGGGCGAAAGCCUGACGGAGCAACGCCGCGUGGGGGAUGAAGGCCUCUGGGCUGUAAACCCCUUUUCUCAAGGAAGAAGACCUGACGGUACUUGAGGAAUAAGCCACGGCUAAUUCCGUGCCAGCAGCCGCGGUAAUACGGGAGUGGCAAGCGUUAUCCGGAUUUAUUGGGCGUAAAGCGUCCGCAGGCGGCCUAUUAAGUCUGUCGUUAAAGCGUGGAGCUCAACUCCAUUUCAGCGAUGGCAAUGGGAAGUCUUGAG
This 275-nucleotide ribosomal RNA is filed under the name uncultured cyanobacterium. RNAcentral's name for it is "partial 16S ribosomal RNA". It matches the Rfam family "Bacterial small subunit ribosomal RNA", at positions 356 to 646 of the family's 1533-position model. The record is from RNAcentral. Lineage: Bacteria; Bacillati; Cyanobacteriota.